CAGGGCCAGAUUAAGAGCCCAGUGGGCCUGGUGCUGACAAUUAUGAUGGGCCUAAUUACAGAAUCAUAUCGAGAAUUUGAACACAAAAAGAUGUGGAAUAGUGGCGCUAUAUAAUUAGUGAAUUGUGGUUUUAGCUGCUAUAUACACUCCGUGGGUACUCCUUAUAACCCACCAUACAUAAUUAAACACCAAAAAGAACAGAGAAAACUUUGGAUCUAGGUGGAUAUUUAUAUCUCCCAGAUCUUCAGUUCCUCAUGAGUGUAGCGCUAAAUAUAUAGUGAAAUUUUCAGUGAAAGGACAGUGCU
This is a non-coding RNA of Pelobates cultripes (western spadefoot toad), 305 nucleotides long. Lineage: Eukaryota; Metazoa; Chordata; Amphibia; Anura; Pelobatidae. The record is from the annotation of a GenBank genome assembly.